GCUUUAAAAGGUCCACACUGAGUAGCUUUUCCUUUUGGGGCUUUUUCUCUCAGUUUCAUCUUUCUGGCUGCCAUUGGUUUAAAUACAGACUGUUCUUUAUUUCAUUUCUACCUGGUUCCAGGGAGGUGAGAGUUCAGCGGGAGUUCACCGUCUCCUCCCUUCAACCAAUGACUUAUAACUUCCUAUUCAGACCGGAGAGAGAUGGUCUACGUACAUGCCCCGCUGCACGCAUGUGGGGGGAAAAGCAGAGCUGCUGAUAGAGGCGUGCAUCGCCGCAGGAGAUGUGAUGAAGGCGAAUGUUUAUGAUGCGUCGUACACGACGCCUGAGAUCAGUUAGAAGAUGCAGAAAUCCACGAGGAAAAGCAUCUUAAAUUCAACGAGAGCCUUUCUGAACUGGAAGGAUAGACAUUAUUUUACACUCGCUGAAG
This is a long non-coding RNA of Cyprinodon variegatus (sheepshead minnow), 428 nucleotides long. RefSeq lists it as uncharacterized. NCBI's taxonomy places the organism in Eukaryota, Metazoa, Chordata, Actinopteri, Cyprinodontiformes, Cyprinodontidae. The record is from RefSeq and is a predicted model, not a curated record. The transcript has 3 exons.